UGGGGAAUCUUGGACAAUGGGCGCAAGCCUGAUCCAGCCAUGCCGCGUGAGUGAUGAAGGCCUUAGGGUUGUAAAGCUCUUUUUGCCGGGGACGAUAAUGACGGUACCCGGAGAAUAAGUCCCGGCUAACUUCGUGCCAGCAGCCGCGGUAAUACGAAGGGGACUAGCGUUGUUCGGAAUCACUGGGCGUAAAGCGCACGUAGGCGGAUUUGUAAGUCAGGGGUGAAAUCCCGGGGCUCAACCUCGGAACUGCCUUUGAUACUGCGGAUCUCGAGUCCGAUAGAGGUGAGUGGAAUUCCUAGUGUAGAGGUGAAAUUCGUAGAUAUUAGGAAGAACACCGGUGGCGAAGGCGGCUCACUGGAUCGGUACUGACGCUGAGGCGCGAAAGCCAGGGGAGCAAACGGGAUUAGAUACCCCCGUAGUCCCUGAGCGGGCUGGCAAGGCGCAU
This 448-nucleotide ribosomal RNA is filed under the name uncultured bacterium. RNAcentral's name for it is "bacterial SSU rRNA". It matches the Rfam family "Bacterial small subunit ribosomal RNA", at positions 355 to 825 of the family's 1533-position model. The record is from RNAcentral.